This is a non-coding RNA of Danio rerio (zebrafish), 904 nucleotides long. The record is from RefSeq and is a predicted model, not a curated record. NCBI's taxonomy places the organism in Eukaryota, Metazoa, Chordata, Actinopteri, Cypriniformes, Danionidae.
GCAAUAUGCAUUUGCAUUUUGAAGCAAAAUAAUAAACCAUUAAAAUAUCAGAACUAAAAUCACUGCGUUUCUGAAGUGACACCAUUGUGAAAAGAGUCUUUUGAGUCUUUUGUAAUAUUUUUUAGCAGGAAAAAUACCAUUAUGAAAUUCACAUAACUGUUAACAUAAUUAACAUAUAAAACACUCAUCAAGAAUGCCCACUUUUGUGCAUUUUUGUGUUUAUUAACAAUAAAAACAAUAUUUAAGAAAUUGUAAAUGCAUUUCCUGUUUACUGACACCACGUAGUGGGCAUUCACGCUAUUACGUUUCCACUAACCAAUGAAAUUACAGGUGGGCGUGGCUGAAUGUGCAGCCCCGCCCCAUAUUCAUCCCCGCCCAGAUCUGCGGGCUGCAGACAGGGGCUUCUCCCCUUUUGUCGCCUGAAGAGAGCGCGCGUAAGUCUUCCGCGAAUCCUAUUACGCUUCAAUAACUAUUUUGAUAUCAUGUAUAUCCCGCUCUUUAUUUCACAUUCACUCGUGUUUUUAUAGCGUGUAUACUUAGCAUUAAGUUAUAAACAUGGUGCUAAAUACCACCUGUAAAUACAGUUCAGAAAUAUAUAAAUAUUUCAACACAAACAAACGGCACAGCUCGAGGAUUAACGUUGCCUUCUAGUGAACAAAACCAUGGCUACCCAAACACAAGAAGAACAACACGACGGCACAUCACGGUUAUUGACUCAGUAAUUGCUCUUCAUUUCCUAUUUCUGCACUUGGAGCGGAAACAUUUCCCAGUAGUUCAGAAAAUACGCAGACGAUUAAGUGUGAAGUAAAAGUGUGAAACGCACCCUUUCCUUCAUGCGUCCAAGAAUGAACUUCAGGUAUGUUGUCAUUUCCUGUUUGUUCAAAUUCUUCCUUUUACUGCCCUG